AACGAACGCUGGCGGCAUGCCUAACACAUGCAAGUCGAACGAGACCUUCGGGUCUAGUGGCGCACGGGUGCGUAACGCGUGGGAACCUGCCCUUAGGUUCGGAAUAACUCCCCGAAAGGGGUGCUAAUACCGGAUAAUGUCUUCGGACCAAAGAUUUAUCGCCUUUGGAUGGGCCCGCGUUGGAUUAGCUAGUUGGUAGGGUAAAAGCCUACCAAGGCGACGAUCCAUAGCUGGUCUGAGAGGAUGAUCAGCCACACUGGGACUGAGACACGGCCCAGACUCCUACGGGAGGCAGCAGUGGGGAAUAUUGGACAAUGGGUGAAAGCCUGAUCCGGCAAUGCCGCGUGAGUGAUGAGGGCCUUAGGGUUGUAAAGCUCUUUUACCCGGGAUGAUAAUGACAGUACCGGGAGAAUAAGCUCCGGCUAACUCCGUG
RNAcentral lists this ribosomal RNA (433 nucleotides) under uncultured bacterium. Its description in RNAcentral is "partial 16S ribosomal RNA". It matches the Rfam family "Bacterial small subunit ribosomal RNA", at positions 29 to 507 of the family's 1533-position model. The record is from RNAcentral.